This 1601-nucleotide long non-coding RNA is filed under the name Paramuricea clavata. The record is from RNAcentral. Lineage: Eukaryota; Metazoa; Cnidaria; Anthozoa; Malacalcyonacea; Plexauridae.
AAUAUCAAAUGCAUGAGUUUUGCUUGUUUGUAAACUUGCAAACGAAGUUUCGCUCGAGGCGUUUGCCGCAUGUAUUUAUUGCCGCAUCUAUAUUUUUCGUUUUCAAUAUUCUGCCGUACUAUGUACCUGUGACUCUAUUCGAAAUUUAGUUGAACAAUAACCAAUAUUUAGCUUUGCUAUCUUUUUUAGUAUUUGAAUAAUAUGUUUGCAUAUGGUUAUUUGACUUGCAAUUGUAUGAAACGGCGCCAUGUAGGAAUUUAGAGGAAUUAUAAAGUUCAUCCGUAUUUAUUACAAUACGAAUUCUCGUGGAUUUGGGAAAUUUUUCAUGGAUUUCUUUACUAGACUUACUCGUUUUUUUGGAACUUUGAAAGACGUUUUAGUAAUUUGGAGGCUGUUUUGUAUAUGACAAUGACUGCAGCCUGCAGUAAAAGUGCACGCGCGAGAUCUCAGAAUAACAGUAUUAUUAAGUAAGCCCCCUUGAUGAGUGUGUACGCUCUUGGGGCAAACUCAUUCUCAUCAGAAAUAUGUUUAAAUAAAGUAGCUAAUAUAUUAUAUGUAUUGCUAGAAAUUCCCAAAACAUUCAUUUGUCAUUGAAAACGUUAACAACCAACAAGCAGGAUGAUGUCAUAUAAAUGUAGAGCACGAGCAAAACGUCCAUGUUCCUUCGAUCAACGGCAGUAAAUAAAUAUUGUAUUUAAUAUAUUAAAUUAAGGACUGUGUUACUGUUGAAGUUAUAACAUGAACGUUUUGCCUAGUGGCUAGUGCUUUAUAUAUACGACACCAGCUUGUUGAUUUGGUUGUCAACGUUUUCAAUGACAAAUGAAUGUUUUGGGAAUUUCUAGCAAUACAUAUAAUUUAUUAGCUACUUAAUAAUAGUUAUUCUAAGAUGUCGCUCGUGCACUUUUAAUGUAGGCUGCAGUCAUUGUCAUAUACAAAACAGCCUCUAAAUUACUAAAACGUCUUUCAAAGUUCCAAAAAGCGAGUAAGUCUAGUAAAGAAAUCCAUGAAAAAUUUCCCACAAAUCCACGAGAAUUCGUAUUGUAUAUAAUAAAUACGGAUGAACUUUAUAAUUCCUCUAAAUUCUGACAUGCGGCGCCGUUUCUUACAAUUGCAAGUCAAAUAACCAUAUGCAAACAUAUUAUUCAAAUAAUAAAAAAGAUAGCAAAGUUAAAUAUUGGUUAUUGUUCAACUAAAUUUAGAAUAGAGUCACAGGUACAUAGUACGGCAGAAUAUUGAAAACGAAACUGAAAUAUAGUACAUGCGGCAAAAGCCUCGAGCGAAACUUCGUUUGCACGUUUACAAACAAGCAAUACUCAUGCAUUUGAUAUUCUGUACCGCCCGACAUAAUAUAUUUAUCCUUGCCCAUGAGAAAAUUAUUUAAAAAAACAACAAUACAAGUAAAAAGUAAAGAUCGUAACCAUCCAUCACCCCGAAUUUAAUGCGAAACACGUGAAUUUAUAGAGAAACACGUGCGUUGCUUCAUAGCUCGUAUUCCAGCGUGUUCCGGGUGGGGUUCCGGGUGUUCCGGAUGGGGUUCCGGGUGUUCCGGGUAGGGUUCCGGGUGUUCCGGGAGGGGUUCCGGGUGUUCCGGGUAGGGUUCC